CACAAUGGGCGCAAGCCUGAUGCAGCCAUGCCGCGUGUAUGAAGUAAGGCCUUACGGGUUGUAAAGUACUUUCAGCAGUGAGGAAGUGGGUAUGUUAAUAGCAUAUUCAUUUGACGUUAGCUGCAGAAGAAGCACCGGCUAACUCCGUGCCAGCAGCCGCGGUAAUACGGAGGGUGCGAGCGUUAAUCGGAAUUACUGGGCGUAAAGCGCAUGCAGGUGGUUUGUUAAGUCAGAUGUGAAAGCCCGGGGCUCAACCUCGGAAUUGCAUUUUGAAACUGGCAAACUAGAGUACUGUAGAGGGGGUAGAAUUUCAGGUGUAGCGGUGAAAUGCGUAGAGAUCUGAAGGAAUACCGGUGGCGAAGGCGGCCCCCCUGGACAGAUACUGACACUCAGAUGCGAAAGCGUGGGGAGCAAACAGGAUUAGAUCCCCCUGGUAG
This 437-nucleotide ribosomal RNA is filed under the name uncultured bacterium. Its description in RNAcentral is "bacterial SSU rRNA". It matches the Rfam family "Bacterial small subunit ribosomal RNA", at positions 367 to 793 of the family's 1533-position model. The record is from RNAcentral.